Molecule: long non-coding RNA, 332 nt
Organism: Cucumis sativus (cucumber)
Lineage: Eukaryota; Viridiplantae; Streptophyta; Magnoliopsida; Cucurbitales; Cucurbitaceae
Exons: 3
Source: RefSeq, a predicted model, not a curated record
UUUGAAAUCCUUCCAAUAUGGAUCCAUGCUGUCUUUUAUAUCCAUAAGAUACCAAUUAGAUUGUGUUAAUUAUUGUUUAUAAGAAAAUAUUUGUGUGCAGAGUUGCAGUGGGUAAAUCUUAAUGGCUGGCAGAAAAUUGGUUCGGGAUAUAUUACUCUCAACACAAAGUAUUUUUUAUCAGUUUACUUCCCAUCGGCAUAAAUGAAACUGUGUUUCAAGAACAAGGUGCCGCUACAUCAUUCAAGGAAAUUCGUCGUAGAGGUCUUUCUCUUUACCAGAUUUCGUAGCUGAAGUUUAUGAAGUAAUCAAACCGGUGUUAACUUCUUAUAUAA